AACCCACUGAGCAAGGGCAGGGAUCGAACCCGCAUCCUCAUGGUUCCUAGUCGGAUUCGUUAACCACUGCGCCACGACGGGAACUCCCCAGAAAAGUAUUCUAUGUCUAUACAUGUAUGCAUAUGUACUUUUCUCUUUUGAAAACAAUUUGUAGUGUACUAUGCACACUGUACUAUACCUUCCAUUUUUUACUUAAUAUAUCUUUAUCAGUACACAUCAGUAUCUGGAGAAUUGGUUCAUUCUUCUCAAUGGCUGUAUGGUAUUGAGCAUGUAUUAAGCAGGUAUUGCAGUGACUUGAGCUGCUACAGUGACAAUGCCAGAUCCUUAACCCACGGCUCCAUAAAAGAACCACAAUUACUGUCAUACUGAUUUACAGAAAUAAAUCCUUAUAAAAAUUUAGCAAAACAAAAUUGAAAUGAAUGAAAUAGAAAAUAACUAAGAAAAAUGAAUGGCUAUUUUCAUUCUCCAAAUGUGCAAAAAUGAAAAAGGGAAUGUGGAAAAAUGAACAGUCUCACACAUUUCUACAUUUGUUUUUAGAAAGUAAUGUAGCUAUACCUUUCAUAAAUUAAACAUGCCCAUACUAUUUGGCUGAGAAAUCCCAGUUUUGAACAUUAAUUCUGCAUUGAUCAAAGCCCUAGAAUGCAAGGACGUAUGUGCAAGGAUUGUAGAGCAACUCUUCAGGGUGGCAAAAAACUGGAAAUAACCUGAAGGUCCAUCAAUUAUGUAAUGACUGAACAUAUCACAAUAAUGAAAUAGAAAUUAAACAGUUACCUAAAAAGAUAGGUUUGAGCUAUAGCUACUGAACUAGAUGAAUUUUCAGAAUAGACUUCUUGAUGAAAAUAAAAGAUUGAGAAAUAAUGCAGUAUAGCAUGAACUUAUUUUCUGAGAAAAACAUGAAAAACUACUCAUACGUAUAUAUACAUGAAAACAGAUUUGAAGUUUUGCAUCAGCUCAUUAAAAUUGCUUCUAUCAAUAAUGAUAUGGUUAUUAAUAGAGAUAUGACUUAGUGAUGUGAUUACACUUUUCCUUUAAAAUUUAUACACCAUGGUAAAUAAGUAUUUACUACUUUUAUAAUUUUAAAAAGUGAAUAAAGAACACAAAAAAUAAAAAUAUAUAUGAUUAAAUGAAACAGUUUUAUAGGAAAUACUUUUUAUUGUCAUAGAAAGAUUAAUGAUUUUAAAAGGAGAUGCUUUGAAUAUGGAUACAACUGAGUAACCAAAGUAGUAAUAAUGAGAUGGUUUAGAUGAUGCUUAGUAAUAUACAGACUUUUUUGUUUGUUUUUUGGUUCAGAGACCUACAAUCUUAUAUUGGCCUCAGUAUCCCUAUUUCUCACAAGGUCUCUGGAAGAAAGAUAUGCUCAAAGAAGUCCAAGGAAAAUGUUGCCUCAUUAUUACCUGGGCAUCAGCUUCAUCAUCACCACCACAUCCCCUGAGCUUACUUUACUACCCACGGACUUCCUUUAGCCCUAUCCAAUGGAAGCCUAGAUGGUAGAAUAAAAGGAGGCUGAAGACAGGCCAUGUUACAUUUCUAACUCUAUACUAGCGGAUCAAUACUGAGCCCCAUAGUAGUACAAAAAUAUAUCUCUGCCACAGCAAAGGAUAUAGGGCUGAAGCAGAGCCCCAUAUAGGUUGUUUGCAUUUCCAGAAUUUCAUCCACUAGAAGAAAAUGACAGACCAGUGUCUUGAUAUUUAUCAGAUCACUGUUCUUUGCCUGUUGAAAAUAUUUAUCAGAUCAGUGCUCUCUGCCCUUUGAAGAUGGGAUUCCUACUCUUGUUGCCCUCUCAUCCUUGAGUAAGAAAGAGGAGAAUGAAAGAAGAAGGAAGAAAGGACUUAUGUUCCUUGGACAAUCCAGGUUAAAAAAAAAAAAAAAAGGAAUCUAUUAAAAUUCUAAAGCAACAACUGGAAAGAGGUGGAAAUUAAUCUUUAACCACUUUUUCAAACUUUGGAGGUUCAUGAAAAUAAAAGCCACAUUUUUUUCCAAGCACUCCUAGGUUUCUCAAACCAUCUGUGCUUCAAGGAGAAUUUAGUUCAUGUGUUUUUGGUUAAUUUACACUUAACUCAUCAAAAUGUUGACUUGUUAUUCCAGCUAUUUGAUGUCUCAGAAAUCAUACACACAUUUUAAUAUAUGUUCAAAAGUCUUUCCUCCAUUUGGAUAAGGAAAUCAUCAUUAGCUAGCAGUAAACAGAACCUGGAAGAGCUUAAGUCUGAUGCCGAAUGAGAACUAAGGAAAUUCCAAGGGGUUUGAAACUUGGCAUGCUACUUUCCACACACAUGGUUACAAAAUCUUUAAAGUGAUAAACACAAGAGAUGACAAAAACCCAUCAAAAUCAUCACAAGCAUAAAUGGAGUCUCUGGAAUGUGAAGAUGUUUAGUCAGAGGACUUUCAAUAGCGUCAUAUUAAUCCUAUGCUUCUUUCUUCUUUACUUUUUUUUGGGGGGGGGCCCACACCUGCGGCAUAUGGAUGGUCCCAGGCUAGGCGUCUAAUUGGAGCUGUAGCUGCUGGCAUAUGCCAGAGCCACAGCAAUGCCAGAUCCGAGCUGUGUCUGUGGCCUACACCAUGGCUCAUGGCAAUGCCAGCUCCUUAACCCACUGAGCAAGGCCAGGGAUCAAACCCACAACCUCAUGGUUCCUAGCCGGAUUCAUUUCCACUGCGCCAUGAUGGGAGCUCCAAUCCUGUUUCUUAAGUGAGAAAACUUCAAGGUCAGCAUACAUGGCCCCAAUUUGGCCCAUGUAUACCAAACACUAUGUACAAGCCAAUCAAUUUUCCAAGAAAAAAGACAAAGGAUAUCUUUCAGAACUUUUGAUAACCCAAUGAUCUUUUAAGUAAAAUGUAUUAAGCAUAUAUCUAUUAAAAAGCUCCUGUAUGUCCAUGUCAAUAGGGUGGAAAUAAUUUUUCCUUUCUCCCAGCUGACAUAUUUAUCUCUAGACCAGAAUACUUGAGUAAAAGUUACCAUGGAUUAAUGUUUGAUGGUCUAGUUUCACAAAUGACCAAAGCUUCCGUUAAAUCUGAAUUGAUUCUCAUGAUAUUUACAGACAGAUGUUUAGAGCUGUUUGAUGCAGAAACCUGGACGUUUGUGACUGAAGACAGAAAGAGGUUCAGAAACUGAAAACCACAAAGGGUGUUCUGGGGCCAAAUAUCAUGCAAGUACCAAAGGAACCAAUUCAUGUCCAAGAAUGAACUAGAGAAUGAAACUGAAGUUUCAAGAUUCAGAGACGUGGAUCAAUAAGAACGUGAAACAAAAGUGAAUCAGCAGGAACACGAAACAGAAGUGGGUCAAUAGGAACAUGGAGCUGGAGGGAUUGGAGCAGCCUAGAGGUCAGAGAAGUGUUUAGGGGCAGUGUGGGGAGUUGGGAGGGCAGAGAGGUAGAAGAAGAGCUGGUUUAGGGCACUUCACAUGAAAACUGACCUCCUUGAGGGGAUUGGCUUGUUUACUGCCCACAGAUAAAUUCAUAAAAUAAUAGAAAUGUCAGGGACAGAAGGAAACAUAAUAAUCAUUUCAUUUGACUUUGUUAAUUCCAACCCUCUCAUUACUGCGAAUUUCAUUGCCCACAUUGGAUGGAUAACCUUUUUAUGUAGCUCUAUCCUUGCUAGUGUUGAAGCUGAGAGAAGCAGCUGUAAGGGCCUCCUCUUACUUCUGGUCCAGGAUUCUUUCUAUGCACCACAUCCCAAGUGAAUUAGUCAUUUCCCCUAUUUUCCCUUUCUUCUUUUUAAAGUUUUUUUUUUUUUUCCCCCACUUGCCUCAUUUAUUCCCACUCGAACUCAAAAUUGAAGUAGAAGUGACAAAAUGUCACACCGAAAGCUCGACUGGAAUUAUUCUCCGAGGGGGUUGCAGCAAAGCAUGUGUGUUUUGUGAAGUUUCAAGCUUAUUCUCAGCACAUGGGUUCAAAGCUGUGAACCAACCUUGAACCUUGAGAACUGUGAGUUGACAAGAUGGGACUAAUAAUAUGUAAAAGAAAAAAAAAAAAGGUUCAGAAGACUUGUUGGAGGUCAGUGCUUUUUUUAAAAAGAACAUUUUGGUGCGUUAAGUGUAAAUGAGUCAGAAACACGAGGAUUUCAUUUCCUUUGCCACAUGCAUGGGUUUAAAAAUUAAUGGAAAAAAGUGCCCAUCACAACAUGUUUUGAAUUUUAUUGGUCUCUCUCUCUUUUAACUAUGAUUUCUAGAAGAUGGAAACUGAAGAAUGAAGACAAUGGAAUCAAGUGUUUUAAAUGUAUAUAUAACACAUGACACUUGUUAGGUGGGGGAGUAAGAACAUCUCGUCUGAGAGCUCCCGUUCUGAAAGCCUUGUUAUUCUUUUAGUGUUGGACCUAAGUGUAUUACUAAAAGAAAUUUCCAAGUAGGCUCUUAAUCUGAAUUUAUUGUGUGAAAAAUCAGGCACGUGGCUGUGAGGAACCCAUCAUUAUAAGGAGAGUGACGCUUGGGUAAAGUGUACAAUCGGGCAACUGGAAUAAAAGAUAUGUAAAUUACUUUGCUGAAAUGGGUAAGGCCUUCUAAAAAAAUAAAACAAUCUACUGGAUGAUCUUCUGUAUAUACCAUUUUAUCUGCCUUAAACAUUUUAUUUCGUGUGGUAUAACUAGGAUCUUUGUAAAGUUCUGGUAAUUUCCAUCACGAGAGAGUAACACAUAUUUAAGGAUUGUCAUGAUCUGUUUCUAUUUUUGCUUUUUCGGCCAACUUUAUGGGGGAAUAGUUGGUUUUUAGUCUAUUAAUAUUAUGUGACUCCUUAGUCAAAUUCCUGUUUUGUGUAAGAAUACUCAUAAUUAGCUACAUGAAUCUGAAAUCUGAACAGGCGGUGUCUAUAAACUCACCUCUUUUCAAACUAUACUUGUUCUCUGAUUUGCCCAGGAAUUUCUACGACAACAUACAAGUUUAAAUAAAUACUCCUUGCUUAGCUUGUGGUUGGGCUUUGAACACCUUAGCAUCAUUUAAAUCAAAUCAUUACAGAUGCUAGACUGGAUGAAAUCACUACGAAGCUAUGCUUGCAAUUUUAUUAAAAUGAUGGGUUGGUCAGGACAAAAAUAGUCAACUCUAUUGACUGCCAAGGAGUAAUACAUUCAAAAUCGCCUACCUACAUAGACGGGGCCAGGCCAUAUCAUGCAGCAAAGGCUCUUUACUUGUCAUCUGCUAUUAACAAUGUGAUUUGUGUGUGUGUGUGUGUGUGUGUGUGUGUGUGUGUGUGUGUGUGUGUGUUGUUUCAUGUAUUUUAAAUAGAAGGAAAACUGGGCUACAUUUCAAAAUUUAAAUAUGGCACAUGAAAAGGCUUUGUUCACAUUUAAUUAAAUUACUGUUUAUGUGCCAUAUGUUUGAUCAGACACUGCUUGUAUCCCAGAUGGAGGUAUUGGGUAGAAAUAAGAUACAAAGGUUUUCCUUUUUUUUUCUCUCCUCUUCUAAAACUAUGAGGUACAAAUUGAGAUGAUUUUCUAAGAAGUGUCAUCACAAUGACAAACUCAUAUGGCCACUGCUGUGACACAAGCCUUUAAAUGAUCACUUCAUGGCUCAUUAACUCUCAAAACUAUAAAGACAACUACUCUGAAGAUAGGUAGGACCCUUGGCUCUGAAACACAAUACUUCAAUUCUCUUCAAGACACAGUGCAACCUUCCCCAGGUAUACCCUUGCCCUGAUUUGCCAAAACUCUUUUCUUUAGGAUUUUACAAUAGGUUUAUUUUUCAAUUAUUCACACAAAAUAAAGAGAUACUGUUAAUUUAAAAAUGUACAGUUAAGUUAUGGAAAUGUAAAUUCACUAAUAUCUCACGCAGCUUGAACUGGAAACAAAUAGAGACCUUUUACGAUUUUCCUACAUUCAGGGGAAGUGGAUUCACUUUGCUCACUGGCCCAGUAUACGUGCUUUCCUGAGAGGAAGAAAAGAGUCAUUCUAACCAUAUGAUGGGAGCAUGUGUUUUUCUUACUUUUGCUGCUCUGCUGUUUUUGCCAUAUUUUCUGAGUUCAAGUCCCUCAUCAGUUGGUGGGCGUGUAGAUUUAACGACAUUUAUUUUGGAAAACAUGUUCUGCUGAAAUUUUGUAGUGAUGGAAGCCAUUUCAUUCUAAAAUUGGCAGCUGAAACUAACGCUAUGUCC
RNAcentral lists this long non-coding RNA (6070 nucleotides) under Sus scrofa (pig). RNAcentral's name for it is "lncRNA (ENSSSCG00030039873.1)". Lineage: Eukaryota; Metazoa; Chordata; Mammalia; Artiodactyla; Suidae. The record is from RNAcentral.